GGGGCCGAUCCGGAUUCGACGAGGGUCGCGAAACAGAGCAGGGCAUGUCGAGCACCAGUACGCUCGUAAAACCACUGGAACACUACAAACGCCAACGACGAGCGUUUCGCUCUCGCCGCUUAAGCGGUGAGCCGUUGCACUGAUCUGUCCUUGGGUCAGGCGGGGUAAAACCCGCAGCAACGUUAUCUACAAGGAAUCGGGCAAUGUCAGGUCACUCGGCAUUGUCUUAAAGCCAUGUGAAUCGCCUCGGUCCGGCCUGUCGGUCGGCUAAGUCCGGGGUUAAAUCCAAAUAGACCGACUACGCAUGUAGAACUGCCUGCAGAGGGCUCGCGGACGGGGGUUCAAUUCCCCCCGGCUCCACCA
This 363-nucleotide transfer-messenger RNA is filed under the name Orrella sp. JC864. It matches the Rfam family "transfer-messenger RNA". From Rfam's summary of the family: Bacterial tmRNA, also known as 10Sa RNA or SsrA, is named for its dual tRNA and mRNA-like properties. Its role is to liberate the mRNA from a stalled ribosome. Lineage: Bacteria; Pseudomonadati; Pseudomonadota; Betaproteobacteria; Burkholderiales; Alcaligenaceae. The record is from RNAcentral.